CGAUGAUGCCCAGCUUGCUGGGCGGAUUUAGUGGCGAACGGGUGAGUAACACGUGGGUGAUUUGCCCUGCACUUCGGGAUAAGCCUGGGAAACUGGGUCUAAUACCGGAUAUGACCACAGGAUGCAUGUUUUGUGGUGGAAAGGUUUACUGGUGCAGGAUGAGCCCGCGGCCUAUCAGCUUGUUGGUGGGGUAAUGGCCUACCAAGGCGACGACGGGUAGCCGGCCUGAGAGGGCGACCGGCCACACUGGGACUGAGACACGGCCCAGACUCCUACGGGAGGCAGCAGUGGGGAAUAUUGCACAAUGGGCGAAAGCCUGAUGCAGCGACGCCGCGUGAGGGAUGACGGCCUUCGGGUUGUAAACCUCUUUCAGCAGGGACGAAGCGCAAGUGACUGUACCUGCAGAAGAAGCACCGGCUAACUACGUGCCAGCAGCCGCGGUAAUACGUAGGGUGCGAGCGUUGUCCGGAAUUACUGGGCGUAAAGAGUUCGUAGGCGGUUUGUCGCGUCGUGUGUGAAAUCCCGCAGCUCAACUGCGGGCUUGCAGGCGAUACGGGCAGACUUGAGUACUGCAGGGGAGACUGGAAUUCCUGGUGUAGCGGUGAAAUGCGCAGAUAUCAGGAGGAACACCGGUGGCGAAGGCGGGUCUCUGGGCAGUAACUGACGCUGAGGAACGAAAGCGUGGGUAGCGAACAGGAUUAGAUACCCUGGUAGUCCACGCCGUAAACGGUGGGCGCUAGGUGUGGGUUUCCUUCCACGGGAUCCGUGCCGUAGCUAACGCAUAAGCG
Molecule: ribosomal RNA, 788 nt
Filed under: Rhodococcus coprophilus
Lineage: Bacteria; Bacillati; Actinomycetota; Actinomycetes; Mycobacteriales; Nocardiaceae
Description: bacterial SSU rRNA
Rfam family: Bacterial small subunit ribosomal RNA
Source: RNAcentral